Molecule: small nuclear RNA, 42 nt
Filed under: Cervus elaphus hippelaphus
Lineage: Eukaryota; Metazoa; Chordata; Mammalia; Artiodactyla; Cervidae
Source: RNAcentral
GUGCUCACUUCAGCAGCACAUAUACUAAAAUUGGAAAGAUAC